GACGAACGCUGGCGGCGUGCUUAACACAUGCAAGUCGAACGGAAAGGCCUGCUUUCCCUUGUGGAUUGCGGGUACUCGAGUGGCGAACGGGUGAGUAACACGUGAGUGAUCUGCCCCCAACUUGGGUAUAAGCCUGGGAAACUGGGUCUAAUUCCCGAUAGGACUGCAGGGUGGUGCCUGUGGUGGAAAACGAUUUUCUAGUGGUUGGGGAUGAGCUCGCGGCCUAUCAGCUUGUUGGUGGGGUAAUGGCCUACCAAGGCGGCGACGGGUAGCCGGCCUGGGAGGGUGGACGGCAACAUUGGGAAUGAGAUACGGCCCAGACUCCUACGGGAGGCAGCAGUGGGGAAUAUUGCACAAUGGGCGGAAGCAUGAUGCAGCGACGCCGCGUGGGGGAUGACGGCCUUCGGGUUGUAAACUCCUUUCGACCGCGAGGAAGCCACCUGGUUGGAAGGGUGGUGACGGUAGUGGUAGAAGAAGCACCGGCUAACUACGUG
This 494-nucleotide ribosomal RNA is filed under the name uncultured bacterium. RNAcentral describes it as "partial 16S ribosomal RNA". It matches the Rfam family "Bacterial small subunit ribosomal RNA", at positions 28 to 507 of the family's 1533-position model. The record is from RNAcentral.